CCCUACGGGGUGCACCAGGCGCGAAAACUUUACAAUGCGGGCAACCGUGAUAAGGAAACCCCGAGUGCCACCACAGGAUGGCUGUCCACCAGUGUAAAAAACUGGUGAAGAAAGGGCCGGGCAAGACCGGUGCCAGCCGCCGCGGUAAUACCGGCGGCUCGAGUGGUGGCCGCUUUUACUGGGCUUAAAGGGUCCGUAGCUUGAUUCACAAGUCCCUUGAGAAAUCCAUCGGCUUAACUGAUGGGCGUUCAGGGGAUACUGUGGUUCUAGGGACCGGGAGAGGUGAGAGGUACUGCCGGGGUAGGAGUGAAAUCCUGUAAUCCCGGUGGGACGACCUAUGGCGAAGGCAUCUCACCAGAACGGCUCCGACAGUGAGGGACGAAAGCUGGGGGAGCAAACCGG
Molecule: ribosomal RNA, 402 nt
Filed under: uncultured archaeon
Lineage: Archaea
Description: bacterial SSU rRNA
Rfam family: Archaeal small subunit ribosomal RNA
Source: RNAcentral